This 505-nucleotide ribosomal RNA is filed under the name uncultured bacterium. Its description in RNAcentral is "partial 16S ribosomal RNA". It matches the Rfam family "Bacterial small subunit ribosomal RNA", at positions 899 to 1397 of the family's 1533-position model. The record is from RNAcentral.
ACUCAAAGGAAUUGACGGGGGCCCGCACAAGCAGCGGAGCAUGUGGCUUAAUUCGACGCAACGCGAAGAACCUUACCAAGGCUUGACAUCGCCCGGAAAGCAUCAGAGAUGGUGCCCCCCUUGUGGUCGGGUGACAGGUGGUGCAUGGCUGUCGUCAGCUCGUGUCGUGAGAUGUUGGGUUAAGUCCCGCAACGAGCGCAACCCUUGUUCUGUGUUGCCAGCAACCUCUUCGGAGGGUUGGGGACUCACAGGAGACUGCCGGGGUCAACUCGGAGGAAGGUGGGGACGACGUCAAGUCAUCAUGCCCCUUAUGUCUUGGGCUGCACACGUGCUACAAUGGCAGGUACAAUGAGCUGCGAAGCCGUGAGGCGGAGCGAAUCUCAAAAAGCCUGUCUCAGUUCGGAUUGGGGUCUGCAACUCGACCCCAUGAAGUCGGAGUUGCUAGUAAUCGCAGAUCAGCAGUGCUGCGGUGAAUACGUUCCCGGGCCUUGCACACACCGCCCGU